This 468-nucleotide ribosomal RNA is filed under the name uncultured bacterium. Its description in RNAcentral is "partial 16S ribosomal RNA". It matches the Rfam family "Bacterial small subunit ribosomal RNA", at positions 28 to 507 of the family's 1533-position model. The record is from RNAcentral.
GACGAACGCUGGCGGCGUGCUUAACACAUGCAAGUCGAACGGAAAGGCCCUGCUUUUGUGGGGUGCUCGAGUGGCGAACGGGUGAGUAACACGUGAGUAACCUGCCCUUGACUUUGGGAUAACUUCAGGAAACUGGGGCUAAUACCGGAUAGGAGCUCCUGCUGCAUGGUGGGGGUUGGAAAGUUUCGGCGGUUGGGGAUGGACUCGCGGCUUAUCAGCUUGUUGGUGGGGUAGUGGCUUACCAAGGCUUUGACGGGUAGCCGGCCUGAGAGGGUGACCGGCCACAUUGGGACUGAGAUACGGCCCAGACUCCUACGGGAGGCAACAGUGGGGAAUAUUGCACAAUGGGCGGAAGCCUGAUGCAACAACGCCGCGUGCGGGAUGACGUCCUUCGGGGUGUAAACCGCUUUCGCCUGUGACGAAGCGUGAGUGACGGUAAUGGGUAAAGAAGCACCGGCUAACUACGUG